RNAcentral lists this ribosomal RNA (313 nucleotides) under Tomentella bryophila. Its description in RNAcentral is "eukaryotic LSU rRNA". The stretch from base 1 to 72 matches the Rfam family "5.8S ribosomal RNA", at positions 84 to 154 of the family's 154-position model. The record is from RNAcentral. Lineage: Eukaryota; Fungi; Basidiomycota; Agaricomycetes; Thelephorales; Thelephoraceae.
GUGAGUCAUCGAAUCUUUGAACGCACCUUGCGCCCUUUGGCUAUUCCGAAGGGCAUGCCUGUUUGAGUAUCAUGAACACCUCAACUCUCAUGGCUUGCCAUGAUGAGCUUGGACUUUGGGGGUCUUGCUGGCCUGGGGUCAGCUCCUCUCAAAUGAAUUAGCUUGCCAGUGUUUGGUGUGGUAUCAUGGGUGUGAUAACUAUCUACGCUUGUGGUUUUCCACCAGGUAACCUUCUGCGACGAAGGUUCGCUGGGGCUCAUAAAUGUCUCUCCUCGGUGAGGACAGCUUUUUGAACGUUUGAUCUCAAAUCAGG